This is a long non-coding RNA of Cervus elaphus (red deer), 427 nucleotides long. RefSeq lists it as uncharacterized. Lineage: Eukaryota; Metazoa; Chordata; Mammalia; Artiodactyla; Cervidae. The transcript has 3 exons. The record is from RefSeq and is a predicted model, not a curated record.
UUCCGCUGACCGCGGCCGCGCGGCAGGAUGGGUGCUGGGCCGCCAAAGCGGUCUUUGUGGGUGUCACUUCCAGUCCUCCGACCGGCGUGGUCACCCUGCAGGGCAGCAUCAGGUUGGACCGUGGACGCUCUUUGACCUGUGAGCACCGUAGUUCCAGAACCAAGGGGACGAGAAAUGCAAGCUUUAGUUUACCUGUUUGUAGCACACGAGGCAAAGCUCUCUCCUCCGAACCCUCCUCUGUUAGUCUGCAGGUCUCUGGACCGAGAGGAGCCACACCUAAGGACCAGCAUCCGACCUAGUAUAGACCACGAUACCCUGGACUUUAAACCUAGUCCUGGGACCAGAUGAGACCUUGGGGGAUCUUGGGAGGAGACUGCUGCUGCUGCUGCUAAGUCACUUCAGUCGUGUCUGACCCUGUGCGACCCCA